GAUGAACGCUGGCGGCGUGCCUAAUACAUGCAAGUCGAGCGAACAGAUGAGGAGCUUGCUCCUCUGACGUUAGCGGCGGACGGGUGAGUAACACGUGGAUAACCUACCUAUAAGACUGGGAUAACUUCGGGAAACCGGAGCUAAUACCGGAUAAUAUAUUGAACCGCAUGGUUCAAUAGUGAAAGACGGUUUUGCUGUCACUUAUAGAUGGAUCCGCGCCGCAUUAGCUAGUUGGUAAGGUAACGGCUUACCAAGGCAACGAUGCGUAGCCGGCCUGAGAGGGUGGUCCGCCAACAUGGGACUGGGGCAAGGGUCCAGCUCCUAAGGGGGGGCACCGGUGGGAAUCCUCCCGAAAUGGGGGAAGCCUGGACGGACCAACGCCGGUGAGUGGUGGAGGUCUUCCGAACCGAAAACCCCUGUAAUAGGGAAAGAACAAAUUUGAAAGUACUAAUCCCGUUUUGAACGUAACCUAAUAAGAAGGCACCGCCAAACUCCUG
This 497-nucleotide ribosomal RNA is filed under the name uncultured bacterium. RNAcentral's name for it is "partial 16S ribosomal RNA". It matches the Rfam family "Bacterial small subunit ribosomal RNA", at positions 28 to 507 of the family's 1533-position model. The record is from RNAcentral.